This 699-nucleotide ribosomal RNA is filed under the name uncultured Actinomycetes bacterium. RNAcentral describes it as "bacterial SSU rRNA". It matches the Rfam family "Bacterial small subunit ribosomal RNA", at positions 49 to 760 of the family's 1533-position model. Lineage: Bacteria; Bacillati; Actinomycetota; Actinomycetes. The record is from RNAcentral.
UAACACAUGCAAGUCGAGCGAGGCCCCUUCUUCGGGAGGGUGUUCUAGCGGCGAACGGGUGAGUAACACGUGGGCAACCUGCCCUCAGCUCUGGGAUAACUCCAAGAAAUUGGGGCUAAUACCGGAUAUGACUGCUGACCGCAUGGUCUGGUGGUGGAAAGAUUUAUCGGCUGGGGAUGGGCCCGCGGCCUAUCAGCUUGUUGGUGGGGUAGUGGCCUACCAAGGCGACGACGGGUAGCCGGCCUGAGAGGGUGACCGGCCACACUGGGACUGAGACACGGCCCAGACUCCUACGGGAGGCAGCAGUGGGGAAUAUUGCGCAAUGGGCGGAAGCCUGACGCAGCGACGCCGCGUGGGGGAUGACGGCCUUCGGGUUGUAAACCUCUUUCAGCAGGGACGAAGCGGAAGUGACGGUACCUGCAGAAGAAGCACCGGCCAACUACGUGCCAGCAGCCGCGGUAAUACGUAGGGUGCAAGCGUUGUCCGGAAUUAUUGGGCGUAAAGAGCUCGUAGGCGGUUUGUUGCGUCGGCUGUGAAAUCCCGAGGCUCAACCUCGGGUCUGCAGUCGAUACGAGCAAACUAGAGUGUUGCAGGGGAGACUGGAAUUCCUGGUGUAGCGGUGAAAUGCGCAGAUAUCAGGAGGAACACCGGUGGCGAAGGCGGGUCUCUGGGCAACAACUGACGCUGAGGAGCGAAAGC